RNAcentral lists this ribosomal RNA (533 nucleotides) under uncultured bacterium. RNAcentral describes it as "partial 16S ribosomal RNA". It matches the Rfam family "Bacterial small subunit ribosomal RNA", at positions 355 to 880 of the family's 1533-position model. The record is from RNAcentral.
UGGGGAAUUUUGGACAAUGGGCGCAAGCCUGAUCCAGCCAUGCCGCGUGCGGGAAGAAGGCCUUCGGGUUGUAAACCGCUUUUGUCAGGGAAGAAAUCCUCUGAGUUAAUACCUCGGGAGGAUGACGGUACCUGAAGAAUAAGCACCGGCUAACUACGUGCCAGCAGCCGCGGUAAUACGUAGGGUGCAAGCGUUAAUCGGAAUUACUGGGCGUAAAGCGUGCGCAGGCGGUUUUGUAAGACAGAGGUGAAAUCCCCGGGCUCAACCUGGGAACUGCCUUUGUGACUGCAAGGCUUGAGUGCGGCAGAGGGGGGAUGGAAUUCCGCGUGUAGCAGUGAAAUGCGUAGAUAUGCGGAGGAACACCGAUGGCGAAGGCAAUCCCCUGGGCCUGCACUGACGCUCAUGCACGAAAGCGUGGGGAGCAAACAGGAUUAGAUACCCUGGUAGUCCACGCCCUAAACGAUGUCAACUGGUUGUUGGGAAGGUUCCUUCUCAGUAACGUAGCUAACGCGUGAAGUUGACCGCCUGGGGAG